AGAGUUUGAUCAUGGCUCAGAACGAACGCUGGCGGCAUGCCUAACACAUGCAAGUCGAACGUGAUCCAGGCUUCGGCCUGGUGAAAGUGGCAGACGGGUGAGUAACGCGUGGGAACCUGCCCUGUGGUAGGGAAUAACCGUGGGAAACUGCGGCUAAUACCCUAUGAGUCCUUCGGGAGAAAGAUUUAUCGCCAUAGGAGGGGCCCGCGUCGGAUUAGGUAGUUGGUGGGGUAACGGCCUACCAAGCCUUCGAUCCGUAGCUGGUCUGAGAGGAUGAUCAGCCACACUGGGACUGAGAUACGGCCCAGACUCCUACGGGAGGCAGCAGUGGGGAAUAUUGGACAAUGGGGGCAACCCUGAUCCAGCAAUGCCGCGUGGAUGAUGAAGGCCUUCGGGUUGUAAAGUCCUUUCGGCGGGGAAGAUGAUGACGGUACCCGCAGAAGAAGCCCCGGCUAACUUCGUGCCAGCAGCCGCGGUAAUACGAAGGGGGCCAGCGUUGUUCGGAAUUACUGGGCGUAAAGGGCGCGUAGGCUGUGCUGUAAGUCAGGCGUGAAAGCCCCGGGCUCAACCUGGGAAUUGCGCUUGAUACUGCGGCGCUGGAAGGUGGGAGAGGAUGGCGGAAUUCCCAGUGUAGAGGUGAAAUUCGUAGAUAUUGGGAAGAACACCGGUGGCGAAGGCGGCCAUCUGGCCCACAAUUGACGCUGAGGCGCGAAAGCGUGGGGAGCAAACAGGAUUAGAUACCCUAGUAGUCC
Molecule: ribosomal RNA, 752 nt
Filed under: uncultured bacterium
Lineage: Bacteria
Description: bacterial SSU rRNA
Rfam family: Bacterial small subunit ribosomal RNA
Source: RNAcentral